Molecule: ribosomal RNA, 253 nt
Filed under: uncultured bacterium
Lineage: Bacteria
Description: partial 16S ribosomal RNA
Rfam family: Bacterial small subunit ribosomal RNA
Source: RNAcentral
UACGGAGGGUGCAAGCGUUAUCCGGAUUCACUGGGUUUAAAGGGUGCGUAGGUGGGCAGGUAAGUCAGUGGUGAAAUCUCCGGGCUUAACUCGGAAACUGCCGUUGAUACUAUCUGUCUUGAAUAUCGUGGAGGUUAGCGGAAUAUGUCAUGUAGCGGUGAAAUGCUUAGAUAUGACAUAGAACGCCCAUUGCGAAGGCAGCUAACUACACGAUCAUUGACACUGAGGCACGAAAGCGUGGGGAGCAAACAGG